RNAcentral lists this long non-coding RNA (230 nucleotides) under Oryza brachyantha (malo sina). RNAcentral's name for it is "long non-coding RNA (OBRA_LNC001879)". The record is from RNAcentral. Lineage: Eukaryota; Viridiplantae; Streptophyta; Magnoliopsida; Poales; Poaceae.
UUCUAUGAGCUUUUUCUGCAUCGGCUACAGCUUACCUGAACAUAAACUGCAGAUAUCAUGAACAUCAUCCAACAUGUGAAACCAGCUUUGGGCUCGUUUAACCCAAAUGGCAUUGCAGUUUUCAGACUAGUACUAGUAUACUAGUUCAGAGCUCAUGUGGCAAACUGAGCCUUAAUUCAGAUGUCAGGAGUUAAUUAACAAGAUGAAGCUGCUUCAUACAUCAUAAUAUU